UACGAAGGGUGCAAGCGUUACUCGGAAUUACUGGGCGUAAAGCGUGCGUAGGCGGUUCGUUAAGUCUGAUGUGAAAGCCCUGGGCUCAACCUGGGAAUGGCAUUGGAAACUGGCGACCUAGAGUGCGGUAGAGGGUAGUGGAAUUCCCGGUGUAGCAGUGAAAUGCGUAGAGAUCGGGAGGAACAUCCGUGGCGAAGGCGACUACCUGGACCAGCACUGACACUGAGGCACGAAAGCGUGGGGAGCAAACAGG
This 253-nucleotide ribosomal RNA is filed under the name uncultured bacterium. RNAcentral describes it as "partial 16S ribosomal RNA". It matches the Rfam family "Bacterial small subunit ribosomal RNA", at positions 524 to 776 of the family's 1533-position model. The record is from RNAcentral.